GAUGAAGAACGCAGCGAAAUGCGAUAAGUAAUGUGAAUUGCAGAAUUCAGUGAAUCAUCGAAUCUUUGAACGCACAUUGCGCCCGCCAGUAUUCUGGCGGGCAUGCCUGUCCGAGCGUCAUUUCAACCCUCGAACCCCUCCGGGGGGUCGGCGUUGGGGAUCGGCCCUUUACGGGGCCGGCCCCGAAAUACAGUGGCGGUCUCGCCGCAGCCUCUCCUGCGCAGCAGUUUGCACACUCGCAUCGGGAGCGCGGCGCGUCCACAGCCGUUAAACACCCCAAACUUCUGAAAUGUUGACCUCGGAUCAGGUAGGAAUACCCGCUGAACUUAAGCAUAUCAAUAAGCGGAGGA
Molecule: unclassified non-coding RNA, 350 nt
Filed under: soil metagenome
Description: partial contains 5.8S ribosomal RNA, internal transcribed spacer 2, and large subunit ribosomal RNA
Rfam family: 5.8S ribosomal RNA (bases 1-120)
Source: RNAcentral